RNAcentral lists this ribosomal RNA (459 nucleotides) under uncultured Thiobacillus sp. RNAcentral's name for it is "bacterial SSU rRNA". It matches the Rfam family "Bacterial small subunit ribosomal RNA", at positions 919 to 1382 of the family's 1533-position model. Lineage: Bacteria; Pseudomonadati; Pseudomonadota; Betaproteobacteria; Nitrosomonadales; Thiobacillaceae. The record is from RNAcentral.
ACCCGCACAAGCGGUGGAUGAUGUGGAUUAAUUCGAUGCAACGCGAAGAACCUUACCUACCCUUGACAUGUCCGGAACUUGCCAGAGAUGGCUUGGUGCCCGAAAGGGAAUCGGAACACAGGUGCUGCAUGGCUGUCGUCAGCUCGUGUCGUGAGAUGUUGGGUUAAGUCCCGCAACGAGCGCAACCCUUAUCAUUAGUUGCUACGCAAGGGCACUCUAAUGAGACUGCCGGUGACAAACCGGAGGAAGGUGGGGAUGACGUCAAGUCCUCAUGGCCCUUAUGGGUAGGGCUUCACACGUCAUACAAUGGUCGGUACAGAGGGUUGCCAAGCCGCGAGGCGGAGCCAAUCCCACAAAGCCGAUCGUAGUCCGGAUUGUUCUCUGCAACUCGAGAGCAUGAAGUCGGAAUCGCUGGUAAUCGCAGGUCAGCAUACUGCGGUGAAUACGUUCCCGGGCCUU